GGCUCCAUCGUCUAGUGGCCUAGGACACUGCGUUCUCAUCGCAGGAACAGGGGUUCGAUUCCCCUUGGAGCUA
This 73-nucleotide transfer RNA is filed under the name Candidatus Liptonbacteria bacterium RIFCSPLOWO2_01_FULL_53_13. Its description in RNAcentral is "tRNA-Glu". It matches the Rfam family "tRNA". Rfam says of the family: Transfer RNA (tRNA) molecules are approximately 80 nucleotides in length. Their secondary structure includes four short double-helical elements and three loops (D, anti-codon, and T loops). Further hydrogen bonds mediate the characteristic L-shaped molecular structure. tRNAs have two regions of fundamental functional importance: the anti-codon, which is responsible for specific mRNA codon recognition, and the 3' end, to which the tRNAs corresponding amino acid is attached (by aminoacyl-tRNA synthetases). tRNAs cope with the degeneracy of the genetic code in two manners: having more than one tRNA (with a specific anti-codon) for a particular amino acid; and 'wobble' base-pairing, i.e. permitting non-standard base-pairing at the 3rd anti-codon position. The record is from RNAcentral. Lineage: Bacteria; Candidatus Liptoniibacteriota.